GUCGGCUGCUUGGGAAGUCUGAGGAUUACUGGGACUAACAGGACUUCAGCUGGGGCUUCAACGUGUGGUGUGGGCUUCCUGACACCACGGCCACUGGUUUCCAAGAGUUUCAACAAUAUUUUCAUCAUAUUUAUUGAAGGCCUCACUGACAGACUUCUCAAGGCCCCUCUACCUUCUAUUCGCUGCCUGGCCCCAAAGCCAGUGCCACACAUUUUAGGUUUUUAACUGCAGCAGCACCUAUGAUGUUUCCAAAAUCUGUAUCAUUAAAGUUUGAUCAGAGAAGCAAAACCACCUUGAGCAAAACAAGGAAUUUAUUAAAGAGAUUAGGAUACACAUUGUUAUGAAAGCUGCAACCUGCUGCCCCUGUGUCCAGAAGUGGGCCUGAAGUCAGCAGGGCUGGCAAAUGGAUGUGCAGUGGGAGAGAGUAGGCGUGAGCUGCACCUGCAGGGAGGAGAUGGAACUCCUGUGGAUGGACUGAAACUGAUGUCUUCCACGUCAGCCUCUCAGGCCUCCAACACUCCAGCGCUGAUGAUGAAGAUGACCUGCAGAGGAGCUGGUGCCCUUCACCAUGGAAUUGCUCAUAAACCCAAGAUUCAGUGAAGCUGAAGAAGCAGUUCUGGUGGGAGCUGGAGGAACUGCAGGCACAGCUGCUGCCCUGUACCAAUACAUUGAGCCAGUGGCUGCCUGGCAUUGUGUGUGAGCCACCACAGCGCCUGGCCCUACACAGACUUUGACUGUAAAUAUGACUGCUGUUUCACUUCUGCCUUCCAAAUUUUGCUCAGAUUUUCUGAGAAACAUAGUUCAGCUUAGGUACAUUGACACAGUACAAAGCCACCGCAGUGGCUGGUUAGGGAGGGAUUAUGAAUGCAGGCUGAGAAUGCACGGGAAGCGUUUGUCUAUUUAUAGAGUAGGUACCAUUCAAGGAUUUAUGUGAAUCAGGUGCAAAGAACUCACACAAAGAUGGGGAAAGUUAGUACUUAGAAAUCAGUGAUACUAGAUAACCAAUAAAUAAAAAUAAACUUA
This 1023-nucleotide long non-coding RNA is filed under the name Homo sapiens (human). Its description in RNAcentral is "non-protein coding LINC02427:16". Lineage: Eukaryota; Metazoa; Chordata; Mammalia; Primates; Hominidae. The record is from RNAcentral.